RNAcentral lists this ribosomal RNA (95 nucleotides) under Kribbella sp. VKM Ac-2571. RNAcentral describes it as "partial 16S ribosomal RNA". It matches the Rfam family "Bacterial small subunit ribosomal RNA", at positions 1 to 94 of the family's 1533-position model. The record is from RNAcentral. Lineage: Bacteria; Bacillati; Actinomycetota; Actinomycetes; Propionibacteriales; Kribbellaceae.
UUUCAACGGAGAGUUUGAUCCUGGCUCAGGACGAACGCUGGCGGCGUGCUUAACACAUGCAAGUCGAGCGGUAAGGCCCCUUCGGGGGUACACGA